CCUACGGGAGGCAGCAGUAGGGAAUAUUGCUCAAUGGGGGAAACCCUGAAGCAGCAACGCCGCGUGGAGGAUGAAGGUUUUCGGAUUGUAAACUCCUUUUGUGAGAGAAGAUAAUGACGGUAUCUCACGAAUAAGCACCGGCUAACUCCGUGCCAGCAGCCGCGGUAAUACGGAGGGUGCAAGCGUUACUCGGAAUCACUGGGCGGAAAGUGUGCGCAGGCGGGCUUGUAAGUCAGAUGUGAAAUCCUGUAGCUUAACUACAGAACUGCAUUUGAAACUAUGAGUCUAGAGUGUGGGAGAGGUAGGUGGAAUUCUUGGUGUAGGGGUAAAAUGCGUAGAUAUCGAGAGGAAUACUCAUGGCGAAGGCGACCUACUGGAACAUUACUGACGCUCAGGCACGAAAGCGUGGGGAGCAAACAGGAUUAGAUACCCCUGUAGUC
Molecule: ribosomal RNA, 440 nt
Filed under: uncultured bacterium
Lineage: Bacteria
Description: partial 16S ribosomal RNA
Rfam family: Bacterial small subunit ribosomal RNA
Source: RNAcentral